GGGUGACCCCCUGGGAAGUUGGGCCGUCAUAGUUAGUACCAGAGCCAAUUACGAGCCGGAAGUGUAAGAUAAGUCUUUGCUGAGCCAGGGUUAUACUGGGGGGAGAGUGAGGCUCCCAUGCUGUUGACUAUUGUAGGUAGAGCACGGCUCCCCCACAAAGUCAGAUUAGGCUAAUGAGACGAGUCUUAUAUCGCCUAGUACUUGUGAGUUUGAGCCUGACGAGGACGUCAGAGCUUAAAGAGGGGGAGAAUGUGAGACUUCAAAUGGUCUUAUAUAUACGAUACAAUAGUGCUAAAACUCUUAACCCGGUUUAAGUAUUUUAGGUGGUGGUUAGGCCCAAGAGGUUAAGAGAGUUAAGCAUGUUAGGACGGGAGUAGUUCUAGGAUGGGU
RNAcentral lists this long non-coding RNA (390 nucleotides) under Ananas comosus (pineapple). Its description in RNAcentral is "long non-coding RNA (ACOM_LNC012308)". The record is from RNAcentral. Lineage: Eukaryota; Viridiplantae; Streptophyta; Magnoliopsida; Poales; Bromeliaceae.